UCAGAGGCGAUGAAGGGCGUGCUAAUCUGCGAUAAGCGCCGGUAAGGUGAUAUGAACCGUUAUAACCGGCGAUACCCGAAUGGGGAAACCCAGUGUGACUCGUCACACUAUCAUUAACUGAAUCCAUAGGUUAAUGAGGCGAACCGGGGGAACUGAAACAUCUAAGUACCCCGAGGAAAAGAAAUCAACCGAGAUUCCCCCAGUAGCGGCGAGCGAACGGGGAGGAGCCCAGAGCCUGAAUCAGCAUGUGUGUUAGUGGAAGCGUCUGGAAAGGCGCGCGAUACAGGGUGACAGCCCCGUACACAAAAGCGCAUGUGCUGUGAGCUCGAUGAGUAGGGCGGGACACGUGGUAUCCUGUCUGAAUAUGGGGGGACCAUCCUCCAAGGCUAAAUACUCCUGACUGACCGAUAGUGAACCAGUACCGUGAGGGAAAGGCGAAAAGAACCCCGGCGAGGGGAGUGAAAAAGAACCUGAAACCGUGUACGUACAAGCAGUGGGAGCCCCACCACCAAAGCAUUUGCUGUACCGCGUUGACGGAGCGAAGCGACGUCAAACCGAUAAAACAGCAGUGUAAAGUGAGCCGCAGGGCGCUUUGCGCGACAGCGCAAAGGCAGGCGGUUUCGCGUAGCGAAAGCGAAUGCUUUGGGGUGGGGUGACUGCGUACCUUUUGUAUAAUGGGUCAGCGACUUAUAUUCUGUAGCAAGGUUAACCGAAUAGGGGAGCCGGAGGGAAACCGAGUCUUAAUUGGGCGUUAAGUUGCAGGGUAUAGACCCGAAACCCGGUGAUCUAGCCAUGGGCAGGUUGAAGGUUGGGUAACACUAACUGGAGGACCGAACCGACUAAUGUUGAAAAAUUAGCGGAUGACCUGUGGCUGGGGGUGAAAGGCCAAUCAAACCGGGAGAUAGCUGGUUCUCCCCGAAAGCUAUUUAGGUAGCGCCUCGUGAAUUCAUCUCCGGGGGUAGAGCACUGUUUCGGCUAGGGGGCCAUCCCGGCUUACCAACCCGAUGCAAACUGCGAAUACCGGAGAAUGUUAUCACGGGAGACACACGGCGGGUGCUAACGUCCGUCGUGAAGAGGGAAACAACCCAGACCGCCAGCUAAGGUCCCAAAGUCAUGGUUAAGUGGGAAACGAUGUGGGAAGGCCCAGACAGCCAGGAUGUUGGCUUAGAAGCAGCCAUCAUUUAAAGAAAGCGUAAUAGCUCACUGGUCGAGUCGGCCUGCGCGGAAGAUGUAACGGGGCUAAACCAUGCACCGAAGCUGCGGCAGCGACACUGUGUGUUGUUGGGUAGGGGAGCGUUCUGUAAGCCUGUGAAGGUGUGUCGUGAGGCAUGCUGGAGGUAUCAGAAGUGCGAAUGCUGACAUAAGUAACGAUAAAGCGGGUGAAAAGCCCGCUCGCCGGAAGACCAAGGGUUCCUGUCCAACGUUAAUCGGGGCAGGGUGAGUCGACCCCUAAGGCGAGGCCGAAAGGCGUAGUCGAUGGGAAACGGGUUAAUAUUCCCGUACUUGGUGUUACUGCGAAGGGGGGACGGAGAAGGCUAUGUUGGCCGGG
RNAcentral lists this ribosomal RNA (1549 nucleotides) under Salmonella enterica. Its description in RNAcentral is "partial 23S ribosomal RNA". It matches the Rfam family "Bacterial large subunit ribosomal RNA", at positions 40 to 1495 of the family's 2925-position model. Lineage: Bacteria; Pseudomonadati; Pseudomonadota; Gammaproteobacteria; Enterobacterales; Enterobacteriaceae. RNAcentral also lists the same sequence under 1 other name. The record is from RNAcentral.